This 73-nucleotide transfer RNA is filed under the name Promethearchaeota archaeon. RNAcentral's name for it is "Candidatus Lokiarchaeota archaeon (microbial mat metagenome) tRNA-Thr". It matches the Rfam family "tRNA". Rfam says of the family: Transfer RNA (tRNA) molecules are approximately 80 nucleotides in length. Their secondary structure includes four short double-helical elements and three loops (D, anti-codon, and T loops). Lineage: Archaea; Promethearchaeati; Promethearchaeota. The record is from RNAcentral.
GCCUCUGUAGCUCAGUCGGUAGAGCGUUGCCUUGGUAAGGCAAAGGUCGGGGGAUCAUGCCCCCCCAGAGGCU